UACAAGAGGCAGCUAAAAGAGUAUAG
Molecule: non-coding RNA, 26 nt
Filed under: Mus musculus (house mouse)
Lineage: Eukaryota; Metazoa; Chordata; Mammalia; Rodentia; Muridae
Source: RNAcentral